GACGAACGCUGGCGGCGUGCUUAACACAUGCAAGUCGAACGGAAAGGCCCUGCUUUUGUGGGGUGCUCGAGUGGCGAACGGGUGAGUAACACGUGAGUAACCUGCCCUUGACUUUGGGAUAACUUCAGGAAACUGGGGCUAAUACCGGAUAUGAGCUCCUGCUGCAUGGUGGGGGUUGGAAAGUUUCGGCGGUUGGGGAUGGACUCGCGGCUUAUCAGCUUGUUGGUGGGGUAGUGGCUUACCAAGGCUUUGACGGGUAGCCGGCCUGAGAGGGUGACCGGCCACAUUGGGACUGAGGUACGGCCCAGACUCCUACGGGAGGCAGCAGUGGGGAAUAUUGCACAAUGGGCGGAAGCCUGAUGCAGCAACGCCGGGUGCGAGAUGACGGCCUUCGGGUUGUAAACCGCUUUCGCCUGUGACGAAGCGUGAGUGACGGUAAUGGGUAAAGAAGCACCGGCUAACUACGUG
Molecule: ribosomal RNA, 468 nt
Filed under: uncultured bacterium
Lineage: Bacteria
Description: partial 16S ribosomal RNA
Rfam family: Bacterial small subunit ribosomal RNA
Source: RNAcentral